This 427-nucleotide ribosomal RNA is filed under the name uncultured prokaryote. Its description in RNAcentral is "bacterial SSU rRNA". It matches the Rfam family "Bacterial small subunit ribosomal RNA", at positions 355 to 774 of the family's 1533-position model. The record is from RNAcentral.
UGGGGAAUAUUGCGCAAUGGGCGAAAGCCUGACGCAGCAAUGCCGCGUGGGUGAUGAAGGCCUUUGGGUCGUAAAGCCCUGUCGGAGGGAAAGAACAAGUCGGGUAGGAAAUGACUCGACUCUGACGGUACCCUCGAAGGAAGCACCGGCUAACUCCGUGCCAGCAGCCGCGGUAAUACGGGGGGUGCAAGCGUUGUUCGGAAUCACUGGGCGUAAAGCGCGUGUAGGCGGAUUGUUAAGUCAGAUGUGAAAGCCCGCGGCUUAACCGCGGAAGUGCAUUUGAAACUGGCAGUCUAGAGUAUGGAAGAGGGAAGGGGAAUUCCCGGUGUAGAGGUGAAAUUCGUAGAUAUCGGGAGGAAUACCGGUGGCGAAGGCGCCUUCCUGGGCCAAUACUGACGCUGAGACGCGAAAGCGUGGGGAGCAAACA